GGGAUAACAGAGGGAAACUUCUGAUAAUACUGGAUAAGUUAGUAUAUCGCAUGAUAUGCAAAUGAAAGCUACGGCACUAAAGGAGAGCUUUGCGUCCUAUUAGCUAGUUGGUAAGGUAAGAGCUUACCAAGGCGAUGAUAGGUAGCCGGCCUGAGAGGGUGGACGGCCACAAGGGGACUGAGAUACGGCCCUUACUCCUACGGGAGGCAGCAGG
This 214-nucleotide ribosomal RNA is filed under the name uncultured Leptotrichia sp. RNAcentral's name for it is "partial 16S ribosomal RNA". It matches the Rfam family "Bacterial small subunit ribosomal RNA", at positions 140 to 354 of the family's 1533-position model. The record is from RNAcentral. Lineage: Bacteria; Fusobacteriati; Fusobacteriota; Fusobacteriia; Fusobacteriales; Leptotrichiaceae.